Molecule: ribosomal RNA, 253 nt
Filed under: uncultured bacterium
Lineage: Bacteria
Description: partial 16S ribosomal RNA
Rfam family: Bacterial small subunit ribosomal RNA
Source: RNAcentral
UACGUAGGGUGCAAGCGUUAAUCGGAAUUACUGGGCGUAAAGUGUGCGCAGGCGGCGUCGCAAGUCGAGUGUGAAAGCCCCGGGCUUAACUUGGGAAUUGCGCUCGAAACUACGGUGCUGGAGUGUGGCAGAGGAAGGUGGAAUUCCACGUGUAGCGGUGAAAUGCGUAGAGAUGUGGAGGAACACCGAUGGCGAAGGCAGCCUUCUGGGCCAACACUGACGCUCAUGCACGAAAGCGUGGGGAGCAAACAGG